Non-coding RNA from Pelobates cultripes (western spadefoot toad), 210 nucleotides. NCBI's taxonomy places the organism in Eukaryota, Metazoa, Chordata, Amphibia, Anura, Pelobatidae. The record is from the annotation of a GenBank genome assembly.
UAGAGUGAGGGGGUGACUAGUGGCAGAGUGAGGGAAGGAAGGGGUGACUAGUGACAGAGUGAGGGAGGUGGUGACUGUCACUAGUCACCACCUCCCUCACUCUGUCACUAGUCACCACCUCCCUCACUCUGUCACUACUCCCUCCCUCCUUCUGUCACUAGUCACCCCCUCCAUCCCUUACUCUGUCACUAGUCACCCCCUCCCUCACUC